CAGCCGCCGCGGUAAUGCGAAGGGGGCUAGCGUUGCUCGGAAUGACUGGGCGUAAAGGGCGCGUAGGCGGUGGCCAAAGUCAGGCGUGAAAUUCCUGGGCUCAACCUGGGGGCUGCGCUUGAUACUUGGUUGCUUGAGUGGGGAAGAGGGUCGUGGAAUUCCCAGUGUAGAGGUGAAAUUCGUAGAUAUUGGGAAGAACACCGGUGGCGAAGGCGGCGACCUGGUCCUUGACUGACGCUGAGGCGCGAAAGCGUGGGGAGCAAACAGGAUUAGAUACCCCUGUAGUCCCUGUCUCUUAUAC
This 301-nucleotide ribosomal RNA is filed under the name uncultured bacterium. RNAcentral's name for it is "partial 16S ribosomal RNA". It matches the Rfam family "Bacterial small subunit ribosomal RNA", at positions 509 to 807 of the family's 1533-position model. The record is from RNAcentral.